GUUUUGGAAUAAAGACACCUUGAGGACCAGGUUUUUUUGGCAUGUGUGAACAGCAGUGUUCCCAUUAAAUUGGCAGAACGUGAGGAGUGGCAGCAAUUCCAGGCUGACCUGAAGGUGGCGCUAGUGGUUUCAGACAGACUGAGGGCAGAAGCUGAGGAAGAGCUAGGUACUUUAAGAGCAGCAAGGCAGGACCUGGGCACACAGCUAGCCAAUGCCUUGCAGGGUCGCCGGGAGGUCGAAAGUCAGUUGGAGAGCCUCAGAGUUGAGCUGGAGCAGAGCAAGCAGAAACUGAAGCAGGUCACAGGCAGCCACCAGGGGGCGCCAGCAAUGAGGGGCCUAGAGAGACAAGUGGAGGGUUAUGGGAAGAGAACUGGACCCGAAGAUCAACUGUGGACAGAUGAAAUGAAGGGAAAAAGAGAAAUGCGCAUCUCUGGUACUACAGAGAGGUCAAGGAGCCUGUGCCGGCUGCCCUCAGAUUGCCCUGAUGUUGUUGUAAAUGGUACUUAUCAACCUUCCGUUACUAUGACAACAGUAUCUGUGAGUAGAAAAACAAAUAUUUGGAUAUUUAUGAUUAUGUAUCUAAAAUAUUUAACAGUAAAAAUUAGUAAACAGUGUCUAAUAACUUCAGACUUCUAAGAGCAAGACUCAAGCAGUAAGUUUAGACCAACAGAACAACAAGACCAU
Sinocyclocheilus grahami is the source of this 684-nucleotide long non-coding RNA. The record is from Ensembl. Lineage: Eukaryota; Metazoa; Chordata; Actinopteri; Cypriniformes; Cyprinidae.